UACGUAGGGGGCAAGCGUUGUCCGGAAUUAUUGGGCGUAAAGAGCGCGUAGGCGGUCCGAUAAGUCGGCUGUGAAAGUCAAGGGCUCAACCCUUGAAAGCCGGCCGAUACUGUCGGACUAGAGUCCGGAAGAGGCAAGUGGAAUUCCCGGUGUAGUGGUGAAAUGCGUAGAUACCGGGAGGAACACCAGUGGCGAAGGCGACUUCCUGGCCUGUUCUUGACGCUGAGGCGCGAAAGCUAGGGGAGCAAACGGG
This 253-nucleotide ribosomal RNA is filed under the name uncultured bacterium. RNAcentral's name for it is "partial 16S ribosomal RNA". It matches the Rfam family "Bacterial small subunit ribosomal RNA", at positions 524 to 776 of the family's 1533-position model. The record is from RNAcentral.